UGUGUCUUUCUUAGGAGAUUUCGUACCAUGUUAAUCAUUAUGGAAACACUACUUAAGAGAAUAUGGCGGAAAUAUGUUUGGGUUUUUAAAAAUAUCUUUCUUACAGACUAAUAUUGUCUGUGGACCUUUCUACAUUUGUUUGUUUGUUUUUGAAACAGUUUUGUCACCCAGGCUGGAGUGCAGUGGUGCGAUAUCGGCUCACUGCAGCCUCCUCCUCCCGGGUUCAAGCGAUUCUCAUGCCUCAGCCUCUUGAGUAGCUGGGACUACAGGUGCGCACCACCAUGCCCAACUAAUUUUUUGUAUUUUUAGUAGAGACGAGGUUUCACCAUGUUGGCAAGGCUGGUCUUGAACCCCUGGCCUCAGGUGAUCUGAGCCUCCCAAAGUGCUGAAAUUACAGGCGUGAGCCACCCCACCUGGCCCCUUUCUACAUUUUCUAAGUUCCUAUCUCUGAGGACAAAGGGUCAGGAGCUUAGAAAACGUAGAAAGGUUCUGCAGACAUGAUCCUAGUUAUGCCAGUGUUUCCACCCUGUGUUUUGCAGGUCAGAGAUGAGCAGCACCAGUGUUCCCUGGGGAACCUGAAGGUCCCCCUCAGCCAGCUGCUCACCAGUGAGGACAUGACCGUGAGCCAGCGCUUCCAGCUCAGUAACUCGGGUCCAAACAGCACCAUCAAGAUGAAGAUUGCACUGCGGGUACUCCAUCUCGAAAAGCGAGAAAGGCCUCCAGAUCACCAACACUCAGCUCAAGUCAAACGUCCUUCUGUGUCCAAAGAGGGGAGGAAAACAUCCAUCAAAUCUCAUAUGUCUGGGUCUCCAGGCCCUGGCGGCAGCAACACAGCUCCAUCCACACCAGUCAUUGGGGGCAGUGAUAAGGCUGGUAUGGAAGAAAAGGCCCAGCCCCCUGAGGCCGGCCCUCAGGGGCUGCACGACCUGGGCAGAAGCUCCUCCAGCCUCCUGGCCUCCCCAGGCCAUAUCUUGGUCAAGGAGCCCACCCCCAGCAUCGCCUCGGACAUCUCACUGCCCAUUGCCACCCAGGAGCUGCGGCAAAGGCUGAGGCAGCUGGAAAACGGGACGACCCUGGGACAGUCUCCACUGGGGCAGAUCCAGCUGACCAUCCGGCACAGCUCGCAGAGAAACAAGCUUAUCGUGGUCGUGCAUGCCUGCAGAAACCUCAUUGCCUUCUCUGAAGACGGCUCUGACCCCUAUGUCCGCGUGUAUUUAUUACCAGACAAGAGGCGAUCAGGAAGGAGGAAAACCCACGUGUCAAAGAAAACAUUAAAUCCAGUGUUUGACCAAAGCUUUGAUUUCAGUGUUUCGUUACCAGAGGUGCAGAGGAGAACACUCGACGUUGCCGUGAAGAACAGCGGCGGCUUCCUGUCCAAAGACAAAGGGCUCCUUGGCAAAGUGUUGGUUGCUCUGGCAUCUGAAGAACUUGCCAAAGGCUGGACCCAGUGGUAUGACCUCACGGAAGACGGGACGAGGCCUCAGGCGAUGACAUAGCCGCACCAGGCAGGAGGGGUGCUCUUCAGCGUAGCUCUCCACCUCUACCCAGAACACACCCUCUCACAGACGUACCAAUGUUAUUUUUAUAAUUUCAUGGAUUUAGUUAUACAUACCUUAAAAGUUUUAUAAAAUUGUUGACAUUUUAGGCAAAUUUGGCCAAUAUUAUCAUUAAAUUUUCUAUGUUGGAUUUCCUCUAGGAUUUUGCCAGUUCCUACAACGUGCAAUAGGGUGGCGGUAGCUCUUGUGUCUGUGGACUCUGCUCAGCUGUGUCCGUAGGAGUCGGAUGUGUCUGUGCUUUAUUAUGGCCUUGUUUAUAUAUCACUGAGGUAUACUAUGCCAUGUAAAUAGACUCUAUUUUUUAUAAUCUUUACAUGCUGGUUUAAAUUCAGAAGGAAAUAGAUCAAGGAAAUAUAUAUAUUUUCUUCUAAAACUUAUUAAAUUCUUGUGACAAAUAAUCAUUUUCAUCUUUGCAGCAAAAAGUUCUCAGUGACCUAUUUUGUGGUGUUUCUUUUUGAAAAGAAAAGCUGAAAGAUUAUUAAAUGUUAGUAUGUUUCUGCCCAUUAUGAAAGAUGAAAUAAAGUAUUCAAAAUAUU
Molecule: small RNA, 2092 nt
Filed under: Pongo abelii (Sumatran orangutan)
Lineage: Eukaryota; Metazoa; Chordata; Mammalia; Primates; Hominidae
Description: retained intron
Source: RNAcentral